GCUAAGGCCCCUAAAUGACUGCUAAGUGGCAAAGGAGGUGAGAAUGCACAGACAACCAGGAGGUUUGCUUAGAAGCAGCCACCCUUAAAAGAGUGCGUAAUAGCUCACUGGUUGAGCGUUUUUGCGCCGAAAAUGAACGGGACUAAGCAGUCUGCCGAAGCUGUGGGAUUUUGAAAUAAUCUGAACCAAGUUCAGACAAAGGAACAGUCUUUUGUUUGAUUCUUACCAUCUACGAUGGUCUGAAUUCUCCUUGUGGUAACCUAGAAGGUAACCCAUAAAGGACAAGAACUCUGUUCGAUUCGAAUAGAAUUCUCACCCAUGAGGAGUCAUCCUAAUCAUUUUCAAUGAUUGAGGAACUCUGUUCAAACAAAUUAGAAAUUUUUAUCCUCUGAUGAUAAUUUUUCUAAUUUUUUACUAAUUUUCAAAAUCGGUAGGGGAGCGUUCCGCUCUAGGGUGAAGCAUAAACGAAAGUUAAUGUGGACAAAGCGGAAGUGAGAAUGUCGGCUUGAGUAACGCAAACAUUGGUGAGAAUCCAAUGCCCCGAAAACCUAAGGGUUCCUCCACUAGGUUCGUCCAUGGAGGGUGAGUCAGGUCCUAAGGCCAGGCCGAAAGGCGUAGUCGAUGG
RNAcentral lists this ribosomal RNA (625 nucleotides) under Trentepohlia sp. SAG 118.80. Its description in RNAcentral is "bacterial LSU rRNA". It matches the Rfam family "Bacterial large subunit ribosomal RNA", at positions 1038 to 1421 of the family's 2925-position model. The record is from RNAcentral. Lineage: Eukaryota; Viridiplantae; Chlorophyta; Ulvophyceae; Trentepohliales; Trentepohliaceae.